UUUGUUUAAGUAUUUUAAAGUAUAGUUUUGCAUUCUUUGAGUCUAGUUUAGUGUUUUAAAUUUUAUUUUUAUGUUUUUAAGUCAGUUUUCAAGUGUUUAGCAAUCCCUCCUAAUCCUCGGCCUAGAACGAUCCCUACUUACAUACUUUACUACAUUUGAUAAAAAGAGGGUUUAAUUUGUGUGCUUAUAUAUUUCGCAUCAAAUUUUGGCGCCGUUGCCGGGGAUUAGCAACUUUGCUAAUCUCUUGGAUUGUUUUCUUU
RNAcentral lists this long non-coding RNA (260 nucleotides) under Malus domestica (apple). RNAcentral's name for it is "long non-coding RNA (MDOM_LNC000750)". Lineage: Eukaryota; Viridiplantae; Streptophyta; Magnoliopsida; Rosales; Rosaceae. The record is from RNAcentral.